GGGGUUGUGGCUCAGUGGUAGAGCACUCUCCUAGCAUGGGUGAAGCACUGGGUUCGAUCCUCCACACCA
This 69-nucleotide transfer RNA is filed under the name Marmota monax (woodchuck). RNAcentral describes it as "tRNA.Ala". The record is from RNAcentral. Lineage: Eukaryota; Metazoa; Chordata; Mammalia; Rodentia; Sciuridae.